Ailuropoda melanoleuca (giant panda) is the source of this 598-nucleotide RNA transcript. RefSeq lists it as uncharacterized. The transcript is spliced from 3 exons. The record is from RefSeq and is a predicted model, not a curated record. NCBI's taxonomy places the organism in Eukaryota, Metazoa, Chordata, Mammalia, Carnivora, Ursidae.
GGCUGUUCAGGGGGUGUGGGCUCCAGCCCGCUGCUAGUCAGAGCUGGACUUGAGCUGCGGUCCAGGGCAGUUCGUCCGUGGUGGAGCCGCAAGCUCUUCUGAAGUGUGCACUUACACGUUUGGUUUGUGUUUGGCAUGUCAUGUUACCCAGAGAACUUUCCAAACAAGUCCCGAAAACCCAUCUGAUGUCUGAAGAGGAGUGGAGGAGACUUGGUGUCCAGCAGAGUCUAGGCUGGGUUCAUUACAUGAUUCAUGAGCCAGAACCACACAUUCUUCUCUUUAGACGACCUCUUCCAAAAGAGCAACAAAAAUGAAGUCUAUCUGGGGAUCGUCAAUUAAAUCUUUUUCAAAUUUAAUGUAUAUGUGUAUAUAAGGUAGUAUUCAGUGAAUACUUGAAAAAAUGUACAAAUUGUUGAUCCAUACCUGUGCAUGAGCUGUAUUCUUCACAGCAACAAAGCUCAGUUAAAUGCAACUGCAAGUAGGUUAUUAUAAGGUGUUUAAGAUAAAAUUUCUUCUAGUCGGUUUUUCUCUUUAAUAUAAGUGCCUGUUUGACUUCGCCUGUUACUUUUUGUUAAAUAAAGUUUGUAUGUUGCAUUUA